Tetranychus urticae (two-spotted spider mite) is the source of this 4674-nucleotide non-coding RNA. NCBI's taxonomy places the organism in Eukaryota, Metazoa, Arthropoda, Arachnida, Trombidiformes, Tetranychidae. The record is from RefSeq and is a predicted model, not a curated record.
CUUUGUUAAUUUUAUAAUAAAUUAAUUUUUCUUCAUCAAUUUUUUUGAAAUUGAAAUGUUUGCUUAAAUAAUUUUGGCCAUGCCACUUGCCGAUCGUUGGGUUUAUACAAUUUAUUGGUUUCUGUUAAUCACUUUUGUUGACUGUUGUCUCUUGUAAGUGCUUGCCUGUGAUUCAGUUUUGUUCAAGUAAUGUUCAACCAAAGGGAGAUUGGAUUUAGAGUCUGAUAACGACUUUUUUCCUGAAAACAAUUGUAAAUGUAACUUAAUUUACUGGGCACUUAUUGCCAGCUGAUUCGUAAUCUUAAUGCGACUACAUGAACAAGACUGAAACCAUUGUGUAAAUUGGAUCUUAUUUAUUUGAGUGGAUAUUUUGUGUCACAAAAAUGUUAUAAUCUCUCUCUAAGAAACUGAUAGUCAAUUGGGAGAAAUUCAUUAAAGAUGCUGUCGAAGAAUAGAACUACAGAAACAUAAUCAUUAUUAUCAUCAAUGGAAAGGAUGAAAAGAAAGAAUUACUUGUUGAAUGAAGGAAACUAAAAUCUUCAGGAAUGAAUAAGAAGCCAGAGAAGGAGAAAAGGCUAAAGAAUGGGAAACCAAUCUGAUACAAUUUACGUAUAUUUUUUUCAUUAUUCAAAAAAAAGGUGGAUGAAUAGUGCUGGAAAGCCAUCAACAAGCAGAUUCUGAAGACCUAGUUAUCUCCAUCAUCAGCAAUGGUACCAACAAUAAGAGGUUGGAAAGAAGUAAAAAGUAGGAGUAAUAAGAAUGAUGAUAAAGGUAUUAAACUCGAAAACUGUUUUGUCAAGAUACAAUGGUGUCAACAACUGAACCAACAAAAGCAUACUAAAGAAAGAAGGAAACUGAAAAGCAAAGAGUAAAGUCAAGUCAACAUUCAUGUGGCCAAAAAGAAAGAAAAUGAAAGGCAUGAUGAAAGGAAAGAUCUUUUGCUUCUCAAAUUCACUUUUUCCAUUUAGUGGAUCAAUGAAAUAUUCAUAAGCAAGUCAAAGCAGAAUCUUUUUGCUUAUUUUCCAUCAAGGGAAAAUCUGUUUUUUUUUGUGCUGCUUCUUUCCAGCUUACAAAAUGCUGUAUCUAACUUGAAAAGGAGAGUGGGAAUAGACGCAAAACUCGAGCCAAGUCAAGGAGCAAAUGUCAAAAUGAAAUUGGAAUCAGCUUUAUAUAAAGUUGGAAUAUUUCCCACACAUUUACACAUAUGCUGGAGAUUUAGCUAUUAGACCGAAUUUUCAUGUGAUGAGUUGAGUUUCAAGUGCUAAUGGAUCCAUGAAUAAUAGAAUCAAUUCAACGAGACGAGAUUUGCCGAGGGCAAGGAAGUCACAAUUUGGAUCAAGAAAAGAAGAUGAUAUCGAUAAAAUAGUUAAACUCAAAAUGAUUAUACCUGAUGUUCAUAAGUUGCUGUUAAGCUUUUAUAUUAUUCUCAAUCUAAUGUGUGACAAGGACCUGAAAAGAGGGAAUGGAAAGACCAGGGUGGAAAGCUAAUGUUUAAUAUUAUGAUCUUGAUGAUGUUUCUUUAAUACAUCAAGUUCAAGUUUAUCUUCUCCAUGAAAUAUGGAAUAAAUAAAGGCUGGAAAUGUGUAUCAAUCGCUUUAAUUUCAGCCUUAUGGAAAUUACAUUUGGAUGGGAAAAAGUUGCUUGUUCAUAUGCCAUAAUUAUAUUUCCCUGACACAAUUUCAAUUCUAAUUGUUAAAUAUAUCAGUAGAAAAGAUUGUGAUGAUAUCAUCUCUACAUUUACUGACGAGAAGCUCAUCGAUUUCAUGGAACAAUGCAAACUGACAAUGGCGAAAAGCAAAAGAAAUGUUAUUCAACUUUAAUUUUUCAAUCAAAAUUGAUUGAAAUUUCCAUCGAUCUUUAUUGAUUAUGAAUAUAUUCAUAUGUUAUCAUUAGUCACCAAAUAGGUCUAAAAUUGAGCUAUUGAUCAACAUUCACCAAGUUUAUCUAUAUCAAUUGACUUGUAAUGUAUUGACUGAAUCUUCUAUCUCAUCCUGAUGUUUCCAUUACCUUCAAUAUUUAUCUUGCUUCCUUCCCUGCCAUCAUUAUCAUCAUCUUUCACAUCAUCAUUCAGAUAGACUCUUAAGAUCAUAAGUUUCACCUAAUAAUUAAUGAUAAUUGAUAAUACAUUGACUGAAGCUCAACUUUUUCACUUCUAACCAUUACUGACAUUCACUUAAGUUACUUUUUAUUUAUCUUGACCUUACUCGAACAGGUUUCAUUUCAUCAUCUUACAGUUUUCCAACUUCACCAUUAUCAUCAUCUUUCAUUCAAAAAUUUUUCUCUCUUCUCAAAUAACAUGGAUUCUAACCUAUCAAAGAACGGUAUUGAUCUUGUUUGGAAAAGUGUUUGCGUCUCUGUUCACUAAUUCUGAUACAGAUUAGAAGACAAAAUUCAAAAGUUCUAUAAUCAGUUUAUCCUUCCUUUAUUAUUUCACUCCAUCUCUUGACCUGAUAACUUGAGUUAUUAUGUAUUUCCUUCAUCUAAUCAUUUUCUUUUCUUUUUUCAUCAUCACAGUUAUGGCAGAAAGAGUUUCACGGAUCAAUGAAGCAUAUUGAAAAAUACCUGUUGAUACAAAAUAAAGACGAUUCAUUUCUUCACCUUUCAUAAACAGACUAAACAAGGCUGAUGUAUAGCUUCAUCGGGAAAACAUAUUUUGCCGAGAAAAAAAUUCUUCAUCCUGACAAUCAUGAAAAGACAAUUUAGUUGAGAAACAAUUGUUUAUUGAAGUGAUUUGAAGUGGCAAGAUGAAAAGUUGAGGAAAAUUGUUCACUAUUGUUACCAAUGGUUACAAAACUGGUUAAAUAAUAGAGAAUGAAUUUGGAUGAACAAGAUUCUGUUGAUGAAAGGAAUCUGCAAAUACUGAAAGCGACCAUGAAAAUCUCACAGGAGAUUAGAUAAAAUGUAUUAUAACGACGUUACAAGACAAAAAAUAAGAGAUGAAAAAGAAAAAAAUUGGUUUCACUCAUCUUUUCUGCAUCAAUCCCUUCACGUCUUUGUUAGAAGUUAAGCAAGAGGAAAAGAUUUUCACUUUUACGAUGAAAUAAAACUUACGUCAGGGAAUCAUUAAAACAUAAAUGAUUGGUUAUCUCAACUUUUAUGGUGUAAAAACAGUGUUUAACAACUUGCUUUUAUGGGACCAAAACUCUGAGAUUUAGGAAACAUUAAACAACAACAAGACCAAUACCAGUAAAUAUCAACAAUAAGUGAAUGGAUAUCCAACAAGGAAGCUCAUGGUAAUAUUGUUAAAUGUGUUACUCUCUUCCUGAUUUUAGGAAUCAAAUGAUAUCUUCCCUGAUUUAAGAUGCGGAUUCAAAGUUGAAUUGGCUGUUACAAUAUGUUCAUUGAUGAGCCUAACAAGACAUUAGCAAGCAAAAGCCAUCUAACCAAAGCUAACAGAUUCCAGUGUUUGUACCCUUAAUCAAUAAACAAACUCACAUCAGGAUGAUAAUUGUGUUAAAUAAUGCAAUCAAUUCUCAUUCCAAGUAUGAUCACGAUGUAAUCUAAUUUUAAACGCCAAUUAUCAUAAUUCACAAGUCAAGAUAAGCCUGGAACUUGGAUGAUUGAUUAUGGAUGCAGUAAUUAUGGAUUAAAGGCAAAUUGCACUUCUAUUAUUGGCCAAUGAAGAGUAUUUCUUGAUAUAGAUGCUGGCUAUUUUCUUGGAUCAAACUUCAUUUUCUUCUGCAGAUAUUCAGUCCAAUUAUCUGUACAAAUUGUGACUCUUCAUCUUUAAUCUAAUUCAAACCAGAUUGUUUAACCUGAAACGAGCUACUUUUCCAGUUGUAAAUCAAGGCUAAGUAAUGUCAAAAGGGUUCGCUUGGUUAAAUGACAAUCUGGUGACAAGAAAUGGUGAAACAUCGAUACAGCAAACUGGCUUUUCAAAUGUUUAAUGGAGAUAAAAUUCCGAGUCCAGUUGAUAUGGACUUGAAAGAAUUGUUGAUUAUAUUAUUCACAGACCAGGCAAAUACCACAUUUAGUUGAAUCUGUACAUGUCCAUCAUUACCAGUAACAGACAUUUAGUCAAUUGGGUUAGCUCAAGUUGAUCUUGACUGUUCUUUCAUGAUAAAUGUUAAAUUGAUGGAAAACACAGAAAAGGUGAAGACAACAUUCGAUUCAUAGCUGUUGUAACAAUAUUAUCAGCUAUCAGCAUGAAAAUGGAUUAAUCAAUGAAUGUCGAAGCAAAAAGGAAUGAACAAGAAAAAAGAGAAAAAUGUUUCCAAUUUUUGCUCUUAUGGAGUUAACAUAAAGACAACCUACCUUUGGCUAAUCGAUUUAGGACCAUGUCAAUUAGACAAUAGGUACCCGUUCGACCUAUUCCAUCACUGGUUAUUCAUCAUUAUUGUGAAAAUGGUUUUCAUGAUGACCCAAAAGGCAAGGAACCACGAAUAAGGAAAAAGAAGAAAGAAAAUAAAAAUCAAUAUCAACAUUAAUCGAUUGUUUUUUUUCAGUUUUCCAACAUUCAACAUUUCAAGGGUUAUAUCUUACCUGCAGUGUACAACAAUUGGACAUGAUCGACCUCGGUAUGACUUGUUGACUUUCCUGUGGAAAAAUUAAAGCAACAAAGUGAAGAUAUUACUUGAAAGAAGACCCAUGAGAUUGGAUAAAAAAUAAUGGUUCAACUUUGCUCUUACCUUCGAAACUCUAGUAGUGAUCUUGCAUUGGGUGGAACACCAUUCU